UCGGGAAUUUUGGGCAAUGGGCGAAAGCCUGAUCCAGCCAUGCCGCGUGAGUGACGAAGGCCUUAGGGUUGUAAAGCUCUUUUGGCGGGGAAGAUAAUGACGGUACCCGCAGAAUAAGCUCCGGCUAACUUCGUGCCAGCAGCCGCGGUAAUACGAAGGGAGCUAGCGUUGUUCGGAAUCACUGGGCGUAAAGCGCACGUAGGCGGAUUGUUUAGUCAGGGGUGAAAUCCCGGGGCUCAACCUCGGAACUGCCUUUGAUACUGGCAAUCUCGAGUCCGGAAGAGGUUAGUGGAAUUCCCAGUGUAGAGGUGAAAUUCGUAGAUAUUGGGAAGAACACCAGUGGCGAAGGCGGCUAACUGGUCCGGUACUGACGCUGAGGCGCGAAAGCCAGGGGAGCAAACGGGAUUAGAUACCCUCGUAGUCCCUGAGCGGGCUGGCAAGGCGCAU
Molecule: ribosomal RNA, 447 nt
Filed under: uncultured bacterium
Lineage: Bacteria
Description: bacterial SSU rRNA
Rfam family: Bacterial small subunit ribosomal RNA
Source: RNAcentral